Molecule: long non-coding RNA, 145 nt
Organism: Dicentrarchus labrax (European seabass)
Lineage: Eukaryota; Metazoa; Chordata; Actinopteri; Moronidae
Exons: 2
Source: RefSeq, a predicted model, not a curated record
CAGUCGUCCAUUAUAGUGAACAUGGAUGUACUUUGGGUCUAAACCAGGUCUGGUCCACUCCACUGUCUCAGAACUGGCACUGAUUGGAGGAUCAAGGUAACAUGGUAGAAUGACAUCAUCACCAGCCAGGGCUACGAUUGGUUGA